CGAGCGGCGAACGGGUGAGUAACACGUGAGCAACCUACCCUCAACUCUGGGAUAAGCCUCGGAAACGGGGUCUAAUACCGGAUAUCAUCACGGACUUCAUGGUUUGUGGUUGAAAGUUCUGGCGGUUGGGGAUGGGCUCGCGGCCUAUCAGCUUGUUGGUGGGGUAAUGGCCUACCAAGGCGUCGACGGGUAGCCGGCCUGAGAGGGCGACCGGCCACACUGGGACUGAGACACGGCCCAGACUCCUACGGGAGGCAGCAGUGGGGAAUAUUGCGCAAUGGACGAAAGUCUGACGCAGCAACGCCGCGUGAGGGAUGACGGCCUUCGGGUUGUAAACCUCUUUCAGCAGGGACGAAGCGAGAGUGACGGUACCUGCAGAAGAAGGACCGGCCAACUACGUGCCAGCAGCCGCGGUAAUACGUAGGGUCCGAGCGUUGUCCGGAAUUAUUGGGCGUAAAGGGCUCGUAGGCGGUUCGUCACGUCGGGAGUGAAAACUCGGAGCUUAACUCCGAGCCUGCUUCCGAUACGGGCAGACUAGAGGUAGGCAGGGGAGAGCGGAACUCCUGGUGUAGCGGUGGAAUGCGCAGAUAUCAGGAAGAACACCGGUGGCGAAGGCGGCUCUCUGGGCCUUACCUGACGC
RNAcentral lists this ribosomal RNA (640 nucleotides) under Kribbella sp. I12A-02633. Its description in RNAcentral is "bacterial SSU rRNA". It matches the Rfam family "Bacterial small subunit ribosomal RNA", at positions 92 to 746 of the family's 1533-position model. Lineage: Bacteria; Bacillati; Actinomycetota; Actinomycetes; Propionibacteriales; Kribbellaceae. The record is from RNAcentral.